RNAcentral lists this long non-coding RNA (414 nucleotides) under Homo sapiens (human). Its description in RNAcentral is "non-protein coding lnc-SNAPC2-1:1". The record is from RNAcentral. Lineage: Eukaryota; Metazoa; Chordata; Mammalia; Primates; Hominidae.
CAGGCACGUGGAUCCACCGACCACAAGGACGGAUUCGAUUGGAUUCUGAUUGACCGGCGGACCAGCUCCAGAGUAAUUGUCUAUGGCUGCCCCUGCAAUGACUGAUUGAUUGACAAUGGCUGAGAGACCAGCAAGUGAGUCGCUCCGAGAAAGCGAAGGAGCCCACUCUUGUGCGGCGCUUUGGGAAGACGCCUGUUGGUUUUGACCCCGAAUAAGAAGAGGAAGCUGAGAGCGGGCUGACUGUGGUCCAGUCCUACUUCGAUUCAGUGUGAACUGACACUCUGAUCUGAAGACGCUCAGGCCUUUGUCAUUUCAGCACCCCAGAUGCUAUUUUCCAUUCGAAGAAUGCCGCCACCAGGUGGCGGUAUUUUAACAUGGCCAUGCAAUCCGGGAGGCUCCAGUGAUGGGGAGCGG